RNAcentral lists this ribosomal RNA (461 nucleotides) under uncultured bacterium. RNAcentral describes it as "partial 16S ribosomal RNA". It matches the Rfam family "Bacterial small subunit ribosomal RNA", at positions 338 to 795 of the family's 1533-position model. The record is from RNAcentral.
CCUACGUGUGGCAGCAGUGAGGAAUAUUGGUCAAUGGCCGAGAGGCUGAACCAGCCAAUUCGCGUGAGGGAAGACGGCCCUACGGGUUUUAAACUUCUUUUGUCAGGGAGCAAUUGGGUCCACGCGUGGGCUUAGCGAGAGUACCUGAAUAAAAAGCAUCGGCUAACUCCGUGCCAGCAGCCGCGGUAAUACGGAGGAUGCGAGCGUUAUCCGGAUUUAUUGGGUUUAACGGGAGCGUAGGUGGAUUGUUAAGUCAGUUGUGAAAGUUUGCGGCUCAACCGUAAAAUUGCAUUGGAAACUGGAAGUCUUGAGUACAGUAGAGGUGGGAGGAAUUCGUGGUGUAGCGGGGAAAUGCUGAGAUAUCACGAAGAACUCCGAUUGCGAAGGCAGUUCACUGGACUGCAACUGACACUGAGGCUCGAAAGUGUGGGUAUCAAACAGGAUUAGAUACCCCAGUAGUC